CAUUCUCUUUGUUCAAAGCUUAGUCUGGCUUCACCCAUUAUUUCAAAUCAGUUAAACCUGAAAAUGAGUGAAAACUAAGUGAGUUAUCAGCCGUUAAAAUGUGUAUACACUUUUUGGGAAACCCUCUAUGUAUUGACCUGAGG
Long non-coding RNA from Myotis brandtii (Brandt's bat), 143 nucleotides. RefSeq lists it as uncharacterized. Lineage: Eukaryota; Metazoa; Chordata; Mammalia; Chiroptera; Vespertilionidae. The transcript has 3 exons. The record is from RefSeq and is a predicted model, not a curated record.